Molecule: microRNA precursor, 84 nt
Filed under: Callorhinchus milii (elephant shark)
Lineage: Eukaryota; Metazoa; Chordata; Chondrichthyes; Chimaeriformes; Callorhinchidae
Description: mir-301 microRNA precursor family
Rfam family: mir-301 microRNA precursor family
Source: Rfam by way of RNAcentral
UGUUGUCGGAGGCUCUGACGAUAUUGCACUACUGUCCUCACCGUUAAGCAGUGCAAUAGUAUUGUCAAAGCGUCAGGCAACAGA